RNAcentral lists this ribosomal RNA (253 nucleotides) under uncultured bacterium. RNAcentral describes it as "partial 16S ribosomal RNA". It matches the Rfam family "Bacterial small subunit ribosomal RNA", at positions 524 to 776 of the family's 1533-position model. The record is from RNAcentral.
UACAGAGGAGCCAAGCGUUGUCCGGAUUGACUGGGCGUAAAGCGCACGCAGGCGGACGCGCGCGUGGGGUGUGAAAUCUGACCGCUUAACGGCCAGGCGCCAUCCCAUACGGCGCGUCUGGAGUGAUGCAGAGGUCGAUGGAAUUGCCGGUGUAGUGGUGAAAUGCGUAGAGAUCGGCAGGAACACCCAGGGGGAAACCAGUCGACUGGGCAUCUACUGACGCUGAGGUGCGAGAGCGUGGGGAGCGAACCGG